Phascolarctos cinereus (koala) is the source of this 780-nucleotide non-coding RNA. Lineage: Eukaryota; Metazoa; Chordata; Mammalia; Diprotodontia; Phascolarctidae. The record is from RefSeq and is a predicted model, not a curated record.
CAAGAGUUUGAGUAUAAUAAGAGGAGAAUAAAGUAGGACUUUUCCUAAAAGUCAAGGAAGCUAUCUCCAAAACUUGAUUGGCACAGGGAGCUUAGGCUUAAGCCAUGUUGCUUGUGAUGCAAGAUUCCUGAUUUCCAAAGAGCAUAAAAGUGGACAACCCACAUGGGAUCAAUGUCCUACAGACUUGACUAAUAUGCCAUAUCUGUGCAAGUCACUGCAUCCUGACCUGCUGACCUGACUUAUUCUGAAUGGAUAUAAGGGGGUUCAUGUCUACCUAAGACAGCCUCCCAAACACUGAACUACUACUGGCAAUAUAUGUAUCAGAUACCUCAUCAUCUGUGUGAACAGUUCUGGAGAAUAUACUGCCAAGAGCCUCAGAGAUCCAAACUCCAAAUGACACAAAUCACUGCUGGCUGCAAUGGCAACAGUAUGGGCAGCCUUUUGGACUUGCCAGACCAGAAAACUGAGGGAAGUGGGAAUGGUGAAGCAACACUAUGUGGACGUGAGUAUGGGAGAGGAGCAUGACUAAUGUGAAAAUACAUUUGGAAAAAAGAAAUAAAGAAAGAAAAAGGCACUAUUGUUUCACAGAGCCUUAGCUAUGUGGAACAUCUCUCACCAGAAAAGGCUGUAUCUCCAGAAGCCAAGUUAUUUUGAAACAGAACAGACAGCCAGCUAGACAAAGCCUUCAAAGAAGUCUUUCUCGGUCCUUUCAGGUGUUCAAUGUUCUCUCUCUCUCCUCCAAUUGUUAUCUAUUUACUUACAUCUAUAUGUGUUGCAUCC